Molecule: ribosomal RNA, 253 nt
Filed under: uncultured bacterium
Lineage: Bacteria
Description: partial 16S ribosomal RNA
Rfam family: Bacterial small subunit ribosomal RNA
Source: RNAcentral
UACGAAGGGGGCAAGCGUUGUUCGGAUUUACUGGGCGUAAAGGGCGCGUAGGCGGAACGACAAGUCAGAGGUGAAAGCCCUGGGCUCAACCCGGGAAUUGCCUUUGGGACUGCCGUUCUAGAGUUCGGAAGAGGAUGGCGGAAUACCCAGUGUAGAGGUGAAAUUCGUAGAUAUUGGGUAGAACACCGGUGGCGAAGGCGGCCAUCUGGUCCGACACUGACGCUGAGGCGAGAAAGCGUGGGGAGCAAACAGG